GGCACUAUGGCCGAGUGGUUAAGGCGACAGACUUGAAAUCUGUUGGGCUCCGCCCGCGCUGGUUCAAAUCCUGCUGGUGUCG
This 82-nucleotide transfer RNA is filed under the name Saccharomyces cerevisiae (brewer's yeast). It matches the Rfam family "tRNA". Rfam says of the family: Transfer RNA (tRNA) molecules are approximately 80 nucleotides in length. Their secondary structure includes four short double-helical elements and three loops (D, anti-codon, and T loops). Further hydrogen bonds mediate the characteristic L-shaped molecular structure. tRNAs have two regions of fundamental functional importance: the anti-codon, which is responsible for specific mRNA codon recognition, and the 3' end, to which the tRNAs corresponding amino acid is attached (by aminoacyl-tRNA synthetases). tRNAs cope with the degeneracy of the genetic code in two manners: having more than one tRNA (with a specific anti-codon) for a particular amino acid; and 'wobble' base-pairing, i.e. permitting non-standard base-pairing at the 3rd anti-codon position. The record is from RNAcentral. Lineage: Eukaryota; Fungi; Ascomycota; Saccharomycetes; Saccharomycetales; Saccharomycetaceae.